AAGAUAAAGGAAAAGCCCCAAAACACACUCUCGCUUCGCAAUUCAUAUUCUGCGACCAUGGAAGCCACUCUCUUCAGCUUCCCUUACUCCAAACCCCCAUCACCCUCCCUAACCCAAACCCACCCCGAAUCCCUCCUGACCCGACCCUCCACCAACCCAUUUCUCUCCCUCACCUCCCGCCCCGCCUGCCGCCACCACCACCACCACCGCCUCCCCACCAUCCGCUCCGCCAUCUCCCGCACCAAAAAGGAACAGACCGUCGAAACCAUCAAGGAAAAUCUCGAAAACUGCCACCUCAUGGCCGGUAUCCGCUACAAGGGCCUCACCGUAAAGCAAUUCCAGGACCUCCGGAAGGUCCUGCCGGAGACCACCAAGCUCAUUGUGGCGAAGAACACGCUGGUCUACAAGGCAAUCGAGGGGACGCCGUGGGAGGUGCUCAAGCCGUGCAUGACGGGGAUGAACGCCUGGCUCUUCGUCCACAGCGAGGAAAUCCCGCCGGCGAUCAAGCCCUACAGGGAUUUCCAGAAGGAGAAAAAGCUCGACAGCAACGACUUCACCGGGGCGGUUUUCGAAGGGAAAUUUUACGGGCCUGGGGACUUUAAGCAGCUCGAGACAAUGCCAACGAGGGCAGAGAUUUACGCUAAGUUGCUUGGGACGUUGAAUAGUCCGGCCUCAAGCUUGGUGGGGACGAUUCAGGCGCCGGCGAGGGAGUUGAUCAUGCUUUUGAAGGCUUAUGUGCAGAAAUUGGAGGAAGAAGGCGGCGGCGGUCAAUAGUGGUCUGGUAAAAGGAGAGGCUUUUGAGGCUGUCUAACAAGGUCCCAAACCUGAGUUACUCUAUGAGAUUGUCAACUCCAGCAAAUGUGGAAGCCAUUAAAGAGGUCUUUGUGGUGAAGUUGCUAGCCUCGAGGUAAUAAAUUGGUUAUGCCUUUCCCGGUGCCUCACCCAAACUUCUGCAGAAGCUGCUUCUUCAGAAUAUGCAAAAUUUUUAAUGACAUUCAUUGCUUGCAUGUAGUAUGCAGUGGACAUACCAACUUCUUAAUACUUCCCGGAUCCCUGAAACAAUUAACGGAAUGGUCGGAGCUCUGCUGAGAAUAGUAGUUACUAUAAUUGGCGGGGGAAUAGUUUGUAGAAACAGAUCUUCGGAAGCUACAAAUGGUGGUUAAAUGAACCAGGGUAAGGGGCACUACAGAAGAUGGAUCCUGUGAUUCAGGGCCAGUAGACAACCAUGCUGGACAUGCCCAAGUAACGAGAUCCCAAUUGUCCUCGCAAACAGUAGCAAUAUCGCAUCUGUUUCACCAGUUCCUUCUGCUGCACCUAUUUGUGAGGAGAUUUUGAUCAAAGGGCCAAUCACUGGUUUCAGUCUGGUAGACGGAGGUGAUUCUUCCUCCUCCAGCAUAUGUCGCAAACUCAAACAGUAAGUGACACGGUUUUUAGAUGUCUAAAGUAGGAAAGGCAGCGACUGUUUUUCGAGGAAAUUGCAACAUUGCAUUGUAGCAAUUUGUAGGAUUUUUAACAAUCAUUUGCAAGUUUGUCCAACAGAAAGAAGUUUGGUUUACAGUU
Pyrus x bretschneideri (Chinese white pear) is the source of this 1560-nucleotide RNA transcript. It is a transcript of the gene named 50S ribosomal protein L10, chloroplastic-like, with no coding region annotated. Lineage: Eukaryota; Viridiplantae; Streptophyta; Magnoliopsida; Rosales; Rosaceae. The transcript is spliced from 3 exons. The record is from RefSeq and is a predicted model, not a curated record.